RNAcentral lists this ribosomal RNA (164 nucleotides) under Muhlenbergia shepherdii. Its description in RNAcentral is "5.8S ribosomal RNA". It matches the Rfam family "5.8S ribosomal RNA". Rfam says of the family: 5.8S ribosomal RNA (5.8S rRNA) is a component of the large subunit of the eukaryotic ribosome. It is transcribed by RNA polymerase I as part of the 45S precursor that also contains 18S and 28S rRNA. The record is from RNAcentral. Lineage: Eukaryota; Viridiplantae; Streptophyta; Magnoliopsida; Poales; Poaceae.
UACAUGACUCUCGGCAACGGAUAUCUCGGCUCUCGCAUCGAUGAAGAACGUAGCAAAAUGCGAUACCUGGUGUGAAUUGCAGAAUCCCGUGAACCAUCGAGUUUUUGAACGCAAGUUGCGCCCGAGGCCUUUUGGUUGAGGGCACGUCUGCCUGGGCGUCACGC